This 382-nucleotide ribosomal RNA is filed under the name uncultured eukaryote. RNAcentral's name for it is "partial 18S ribosomal RNA". It matches the Rfam family "Eukaryotic small subunit ribosomal RNA", at positions 592 to 976 of the family's 1831-position model. The record is from RNAcentral.
CAAUAGCGUAUAUUAAAGUUGUUGCAGUUAAAAAGCUCGUAGUUGGAUUUCUGGUUGAAGCGACCGGUCGGGCGUUGAUUCGUCUGCACUGGAGUCGGUUUUGGUCAUCCUCUAGGAAAGUGCGUCUGGUAUUAAGUUAUCGGGCGUAUGAUCCUGGUCUUUUACUGUGAAAAAAUUAGAGUGUUUAAAGCAGGCCUUCGCCUUGAAUACAUUAGCAUGGAAUAAUAAGAUAGGACUUUGGUCUAUUUUGUUGGUUUGCAGACCGAAGUAAUGAUUAAUAGGGAUAGUUGGGGGUAUUUAUAUUCCGAUGUCAGAGGUGAAAUUCUUAGAUUUUCGGAAGAUAAACUUAUGCGAAAGCAUUUACCAAGGAUGUUUUCAUUAA